Molecule: long non-coding RNA, 747 nt
Organism: Brassica rapa (field mustard)
Lineage: Eukaryota; Viridiplantae; Streptophyta; Magnoliopsida; Brassicales; Brassicaceae
Source: RefSeq, a predicted model, not a curated record
AAAAAAAUUAUAACGAUUCCCAUAUACCAUGAAAAAGAGCUUAAAAUACAUUAAUACAAAUGUAGAAUGUGGUCAAAAAUUUUAAAACAACACUAAAGAUUAUAGGCUUCAAAAAACUCAAUAUUUUCGAAGGGGUUAGCGCAUAGAUUUUGAGAAAAUUUUUAAAAAUACGACAAUAUUGUUUUAAUGCAUAGUUGCAUCCCACACUAACAUAUGAUGAUAUUCAAAGGGUUUGGAGUCUUACUUGUCUCUAUUUUUCAAGAAAAUAGUGAUUUUAUGUGGUUAUUCCAUCGAUUUAGGGAGUAUUAUGAAGUUUUACUAAAUUAUUGAUAAAAACAAUUGAACUAUGCUCAUUUACCAUAAAAAGAUUUACAUACAUUAAUACAAAUGUAGAAUAUGAAUGUGGUUAGAAAUUUUAAAACAACACUAAAGAGUAUAGGCUUCAGUAUAUAAAUUAAAUACCAAAAACUCAAUAUUUUCGUAGGGGUUAGGACAUAGAUUUUGAGAAAAUUACAAAAAAUAUGACAAUAUUGUUUUAAUGCAUAGUUGCAUCAUGCACUAACAUAUGAUGAUGUUCAAAAAGGUUUGAGUCUUAGUUGUCUCUAAUUUUCAAGAAAAUAGUGAUUUUAUAGUGGUUAUUCCAUCGAUUUAGGGAGUAUUAUGAAGUUUUACUAAAUUAAUUGAUAAACACAAUUGAACGAUGCUCAUUUACCAUGAAAAAUAGUUUAACAUACACUAAUACAAAUG